GCCUGGACCAAAUAUCCGUAGGGCUGAUGGGGCCGCCCGGAUCAUCCGGAUGGGCUAAUGUCCAACGUAACUUGGGCUCUCUUCUACUCGUCCUGCUGGGCCUGGACCAAAUGUCUGUAGGGCUGAUGGGGCCGCCCGGAUCAUCCGAACGGGCUAAUGUCUUCGGCGUAACUUGGGCUCUCUUCUAUUCGUCUUGCUGGGCCUCGCUCCUAGACUUCUUC
This 221-nucleotide long non-coding RNA is filed under the name Zostera marina. RNAcentral's name for it is "long non-coding RNA (ZMAR_LNC004904)". The record is from RNAcentral. Lineage: Eukaryota; Viridiplantae; Streptophyta; Magnoliopsida; Alismatales; Zosteraceae.